Long non-coding RNA from Bos grunniens (domestic yak), 1551 nucleotides. The record is from Ensembl. Lineage: Eukaryota; Metazoa; Chordata; Mammalia; Artiodactyla; Bovidae.
CAGAUAGAGCUAGUUCCUAAUCUCUGGAACCUGUGUCUAUUUCAGUGAUCGCAGACACUGAAGAGAAGGCAGUGUGGCCACAAGGGCAGAGAAUACAGUGGUGUAGCUGCGGUCAAAGGAUGCCAGCAGCCAAGUUUAUGAUAGUCUGAUUCAGUAGCCAGAAGAAACUCAUUCAGAAACUAAUAAAAUUACCCGUUAUGUUUAGUGAUUGAAACAGAGUUCGGAAUAAGAUUUUUUCAUCAAUGGUCCUUUUAUAGUAUCUUUUUUGUUAAACAAGAUGAAUAUAUUUACGUUUAAAAUGUAAAUCGUAAAUCUUUCCUUUAAUUCAAAGAUUUCCUCUCUUCACAGCUUAGGCUGGGACCCUAGUCAUGCAGACCACUGUGAGGAAGGGGAGUAGACAGUAUUCUGGACUUCCACUUGCUCUGCUGUGCUGGCUGGCUCCUGAUGUGGAGAUUCAAGACAAAGAGCUUGGGUUUAGCACAGUCUGGCUAUUGGUACCUCUGUCCAGGCAGCCGGCCUAACUACAGGCUCUUCGUCUCACCACUUGUUUGCACGAGCUCUUUGGAGGCCUUCACCCUGCCACAUUCCAGGACCAAGCUGACAAAUGAUAAUGACAUAUGACAUGACAUGGGACUUCCCUGGUGGCUCAGAUGGUAAAGAAAAUACCUGCAAUGCGGGAGACCUGAGUUCAAUCCCCGGGUCGAAACAUCCCCUGGUGAAGGUAAUGGCUACCCACUUCAGUAUUCUUGCGUGGAGAAUCCCAUGAACAGAGGAGCCUAGGGGGCCACAGUCUAUGGGGUCACAAAGAGUCAGACAUGACUGAGCGACUAACACUUACACUUUCAUGACAAUUACAUAGAACAUAACAGAAUAAGAUAAAACAUUGAAUGUGAUAUAUGAUAUAUACAACCUAAUUAUUUAAACAUGAUUAUUCCAGAAGGUUCUCUUUUAGUCUGCUACAAAUUUGUAUAGUCACAUAACCAGGCCAUGUUAAACUAAUGUCAAGUGAUAUUAAGUGGGGCUUUUCUUAUUGUCUGGGGUGUCCCAUAAGCCCCCAGAGCUGAGACCAACAGGUGUCAAAUGUCUAGUCACUCUCUUGGCAGGUGAUUGAAUCACAGAGGUGGUUGGUUCAGUGCCCACCUCCUACCUCCACCUUAUUCAGGAGAAACCCAGAGAGACUCAUUAGAAAAAUUAGAGAUUUCUCAAAAUGAAAAGCAAUGAGAACAACCUGAUAUUUAUGAGGAAGAAAACAUAUUUUGUUUUCUUCUCUUCUCCUUCAAAGUUAGGUCAGGGAGGUCAAGGAGGCAACAAGAAACUCCUUUGGGGAAAUGGGAGCAUAGGACUAGGAAAGAAGGAAUGGGAUGAUUAGUGAGCAGUGGGGAGGCAGAGGAGGAUGCCACAUAACACUGAAGAAGCAUUAUACAUAGUGACCAGACCAUGAUGGUCUUGUAAAAUCUUGUCAGGGGGUUCACUAGGAGGUCAGUGGGAAGCAUCUGACUUGUUUUGAACCAGGAGGUGACAAGAUCUGAUUUUCAUUUGGAAAGAGUAUUC